GACGAACGCUGGCGGCGUGCUUAACACAUGCAAGUCGAACGGAAAGGCCCUGCUUUUGUGGUGUGCUCGAGUGGCGAACGGGUGAGUAACACGUGAGUAACCUGCCCUUGACUUUGGGAUAACUUCAGGUAACUGGGGCUAAUACCGGAUAGGAGCUCCUGCUGCAUGGUGGGGGUUGGAAAGUUUCGGCGGUUAGGGAUGGACUCGCGGCUUAUCAGCUUGUUGGUGGGGUAGUGGCUUACCAAGGCUUUGACGGGUAGCCGGCCUGAGAGGGUGACCGGCCCCAUUGGGACUGAGAUACGGCCCAGACUCCUACGGGAGGCAGCAGUGGGGAAUAUUGCACAAUGGGCGGAAGCCUGAUGCAGCAGCGCCGCGUGCGGGAUGACGGCCUUCGGGUUGUAAACCGCUUUCGCCUGUGACGAAGCGUGAGUGACGGUAAUGGGUAAAGAAGCACCGGCUAACUACGUG
RNAcentral lists this ribosomal RNA (468 nucleotides) under uncultured bacterium. RNAcentral describes it as "partial 16S ribosomal RNA". It matches the Rfam family "Bacterial small subunit ribosomal RNA", at positions 28 to 507 of the family's 1533-position model. The record is from RNAcentral.